This 300-nucleotide ribosomal RNA is filed under the name Dorea longicatena. RNAcentral's name for it is "partial 23S ribosomal RNA". It matches the Rfam family "Bacterial large subunit ribosomal RNA", at positions 1224 to 1527 of the family's 2925-position model. Lineage: Bacteria; Bacillati; Bacillota; Clostridia; Lachnospirales; Lachnospiraceae. The record is from RNAcentral.
AUUGGUAGAGGAGCAUUGUAUACGGGACGAAGCAGUACCGAUAAGGAGCUGUGGACUGUAUAGAAGAGAGAAUGCCGGAAUGAGUAGCGAGAGGAAGGUGAGAAUCCUUCCGGCCGAAUAUCUAAGGUUUCCAGAGUAAAGCUGAUCUGCUCUGGGUAAGUCGGGGCCUAAGGCCAGGUCGAAAGACGUAACCGAUGGACAACAGGUUGAAAUUCCUGUACCUUAAGUAAACAGAACUGUGGGGACACGUGUGGAGAGCACAAGCCGGAAAUGGAAAAGCCGGUGCAAGCGAGGUAGGAG